AGCAGCACAGGGCUUGCAGUCAGGAAAACCUCUGAUACCGGAAGCCUUGGGAUCAUGGGCUCAGGAA
RNAcentral lists this long non-coding RNA (67 nucleotides) under Monodelphis domestica (gray short-tailed opossum). Its description in RNAcentral is "lncRNA (ENSMODG00000043768.1)". Lineage: Eukaryota; Metazoa; Chordata; Mammalia; Didelphimorphia; Didelphidae. The record is from RNAcentral.